Cercocebus atys (sooty mangabey) is the source of this 107-nucleotide small nuclear RNA. The record is from Ensembl. Lineage: Eukaryota; Metazoa; Chordata; Mammalia; Primates; Cercopithecidae.
AUGCUCCUUUCAGCGGCAUAUAUACUAAAAUUGGAAUGAUACAAAGAAGAUUAGCUUGGCCCCUGUGCAAGGAUAACAGGCAAAUUCAUGAAGCAUCUUAUAUUUCA